CCUACGGGUGGCUGCAGUGGGGAAUAUUGGACAAUGGGCGAAAGCCUGAUCCAGCCAUGCCGCGUGUGUGAAGAAGGCCUUCGGGUUGUAAAGCACUUUCAGUGGGGAAGAAAGCCUUGGGGCUAAUACCCUCGAGGAAGGACAUCACCCACAGAAGAAGCACCGGCUAACUCCGUGCCAGCAGCCGCGGUAAUACGGAGGGUGCGAGCGUUAAUCGGAAUUACUGGGCGUAAAGCGCGCGUAGGCGGUCUGAUAAGCCGGUUGUGAAAGCCCCGGGCUCAACCUGGGAACGGCAUCCGGAACUGUCGGGCUAGAGGGCAGGAGAGGAAGGUAGAAUUCCCGGUGUAGCGGUGAAAUGCGUAGAGAUCGGGAGGAAUACCAGUGGCGAAGGCGGCCUUCUGGACUGACACUGACGCUGAGGUGCGAAAGCGUGGGUAGCAAACAGGAUUAGAUACCCCUGUAGUC
Molecule: ribosomal RNA, 465 nt
Filed under: Vreelandella stevensii
Lineage: Bacteria; Pseudomonadati; Pseudomonadota; Gammaproteobacteria; Oceanospirillales; Halomonadaceae
Description: partial 16S ribosomal RNA
Rfam family: Bacterial small subunit ribosomal RNA
Source: RNAcentral